UCGAGGAUCUUUCGCAAUGGGCGCAAGCCUGACGAAGCGACGCUGUGUGGACGAUGAAGGCCUUCGGGUUGUAAAGUCCUUUCGCGCAAGAACAAGAGAAGCACGCUAAUAAGAUGCCGAUUUGAGGGUACUGCGUAAAGAAGCACCGGCUAACUCCGUGCCAGCAGCUGCGGUAAUACGGAGGGUGCAAGCAUUAAUCGGAUUUACUGGGCGUAAAGGGCGCGUAGGCGGAUGAGGAAGUCAAAUGUGAAAUUCCGGAGCUCAACUUCGGAGCGGCAUUUGAAACUGAGCAUCUAUAGAGGGAUGGCGGAGAAAAUGGAAUUCCACAAGUAGCGGUGAAAUGCGUAGAUAUGUGGAAGAACACCAGUGGCGAAAGCGGUUUCCUAGCUAUUACCUGACGCUGAGGCGCGAGAGCAUGGGGAGCAAACAGGAUUAGAUACCCCCGUAGUCC
Molecule: ribosomal RNA, 451 nt
Filed under: uncultured bacterium
Lineage: Bacteria
Description: bacterial SSU rRNA
Rfam family: Bacterial small subunit ribosomal RNA
Source: RNAcentral